GAAUCAAAUGUCCCGCUGAUCCGACAGGAGGUGAAGCUCAGGCGGUAAUGGCUGGCCUGUUGCUCACCUCCUGCUGUGCGGCCAGGCUCGCCACAGACCUAUAGGAUCUGCCGCCCGGGGCUGGGGACGCCUGCUCUAGAGCACUAGCCUGCAAACUUUUUAUUUAAUGGCUGCAGCUCCAGCAUCCAUCUUGGAUUAUGAGGUAAUCUUGAGAAUGGAAGCCAAGCCCUUGGAGGAUUCUCACCAUCCAGAAGUCAUACCAGUGGUGAGAACUUGUCUGGAAUUUGUUGAACAGUCUCUACUUACCAAGAAGCCAGAGAAAAGUUUGGCUGACCUCCAAGCAAGCUGCACAAGCUCAUGCUCAUUAAAGGCUCAUAAAGAUGCUAUUAGGGAUUACAAAGGAUCUGGCCAUGGUCCCCAUGGUUCUAGCUGCCACUGGUUUCCCAUAGAGCCCUAGGCUGGAUACAAUCUGUAGUGUCCCUGGAAAAGCACAGGUGGAUUCUGUAUACUUUGUGGUCUGAAUAUUCUUCACCUAAUGACAACAGAUGUGGUAGGUAGAAUAACACUCCCUCCUACCAAAAACAACAACAACAACAGCAACAAAAACCCAUAGAUGUCUACCUUCUAACCUACGGAACCUGGUAAUACAUUAAUUACAGGGUAAAAUGGUAUUAAGAUUGCAGUGGAAAUGAAAGUUGCUAGUCAUUUUACCUUAACAUAGCAAAGUAAUCCCAGAUUAUCUCAGUGGACCCAAUGUAAUUACUAGGAUCCUUAAAAGUGGAAGACAGAAUUGAAAGAGAGAACUAUGCAGUAUCAUUAAAACUUCUUGGUCUGAUGUUACUGACUUUGAAGAUGGAGGAAGGGGGCCAUGAGUGAGCUAAGGAAAGAAGGUGGCCCUAAACAAGCUGGAAAAGGCAAGAAAACAGUUCUUGUCCAAUGGAGUAAAUCCCAUGACAUAAAUCGAUGUGUGAAGUUUCCUUGACAAUCAGCAGAUUGGCAUAAACUUGUUACUUCAUUCUUCUUAGCAAGCACGAGAAUAGUGUUACAAACAGUGUUGGAAAUUUCCUAAUCCGUAUGCUUCAUUUUGAGGCUAUUAUUCACCGCUGAUGUUGUUUCCAGUCCUUGACUGCUCUCUGAAGCUUCACAUUUGAAAAAUUAUUAUAGCUACAGUAGCACAUGGUCAAUCUCAUGUUUGUUUGAUUAAAAUAUUGUAGAGACCAACAUGCAGGAGCUAGCAAAGUAGUAAUCAUCUAUUCUGAGGUCAAGCAGGAUAACUACUCUUCCUAAGAAUAUUUCGUCCCUUGAAAGAAGUUCUGGCAAGGUAGGUGGUUGGCAACAAAUAGUGACCCUUACAUGGUGAUCCUGAAAUCUGUCUCUAAUUUCUGCUCUCCUUUAUUUUAUCAGUGAGACAAUGAUGAAAUCUCAUAUUUCAUAAGAUUUUAAGGAUGUUGCCACUUAAAGGUUUUGUGAAACUAAAUGUAUUCACAACACAGUUUUAGUUUAUGAGUUUGAAUUCACACUCUUGAACAUAAAAUCUAAUCCUAAUGUACAGUCUUUCUACUCCUAAAAUUGGAAGGAGUAUAACAUGUUCCAAAUUACAAAUAACAUACAUUACAAAUUACAUAUAUUACAAACACAAAUAAUUUUUCAAUUUAAAUAUGUCUCAAGAGCAUUUUUUAUGGUUUCCUUAUCUUCUUUCAAUAUAAUGUGCCUUGGUAAUAAAAUAGAGAAGUAUCUACAUAACUAUAAAGGGAAAUCAAUCCAUAUGGCUAUGACAAAAUAGAGAAGUAUCUACAUAACUAUAAAGGGAAAUCAAUCCAUAUGGCUAUGAUAAUAUAGAUUAUUAUCAUAAUAUUUUGACUAUGACAGGUAAUUUCUAAAAAUUAAAAAAGGAUUUUAUUUAAACACAAUAAUUUUUAUAAUUCACAUGUUAAUUUUCAGUAAAUUAUUGUUUCUCAAUGGAUAAUUUGAUCAAUAUCAAU
RNAcentral lists this long non-coding RNA (1982 nucleotides) under Homo sapiens (human). RNAcentral's name for it is "novel transcript". Lineage: Eukaryota; Metazoa; Chordata; Mammalia; Primates; Hominidae. The record is from RNAcentral.